Dicentrarchus labrax (European seabass) is the source of this 773-nucleotide long non-coding RNA. RefSeq lists it as uncharacterized. Lineage: Eukaryota; Metazoa; Chordata; Actinopteri; Moronidae. The record is from RefSeq and is a predicted model, not a curated record. The transcript has 2 exons.
CAGACACAGCAACCAAUCACACGGCUGCCCGAGGACACAGGUGGUAUAGAGGGUAUGCAUGUGACGUCACGGUACCCGGAAGUCGCUGCGGUUACGCCCACUGAGUGGCAAAAAGACGAGUGGCAGAACUGGCAAGAUUUCAAAUAUUCAAUUAUAUUCGAUAUUCAACAUGGGGAAGAGCUGCUGUGCUUUAAAAAGGGGUCAGAGCAAAGUUUCUACAGGCUACCAAAAGCAGCAGAAAAGAGACGGCGAUGGGUCGCUGCGAUCCGGAGAGACAGCUGGCAUCCAGGCACAGAAACCUGGACCUGCGUUUCACAUUUCGUGUCAGGGAAAAAGAGUGAUGAUCCCCUACCACGUGUCAGUGUAAGUGGACCAGAUGGUUUUGGGGAGCUCCUAUGGAUCAUUGUUGAGUCCAACUGACGUCCAUUUGUUUUGAUAAUCCAUUUUUAUUCGGUUCUGCUGUGUCAACCGCUAUCAUCUUCUUCUUCUUCUUCUUCUUCAUAUGGAUUUCUGGCAGUCUAGACGCUUCUAGGCAUAUUACUGCCCUCCACAGGAAGUCACUCCAAGGAUAUUGUUACUGCUUCAAAUGUUCAUAUAUAGCCCUUUAUUGUGUAAGAACUGUAAUACUACUUUAACAGUCAAGUGGUGGUUCUCAUUUUGACCUAAUAAAGAUUUAACUGAAAAUGACCGAACUCCCAAAUCUGAUCCUCUCUUGUAUAAAAUGUUCCUUUCAAUUGUAUAUUUGUUACAUUUCAAUAAAACAUGUUCAACUG